GAUGAACGCUGGCGGCGUGCCUAAUACAUGCAAGUCGAGCGAACAGACGAGUAGCUUGCUCCUCUGACGUUAGCGGCGGACGGGUGAGUAACACGUGGAUAACCUCCCUAUAAGACUGGGAUAACUUCGGGAAACCGGAGCUAAUACCGGAUAAUAUAUUGAACCGCAUGUUUCAAUAGUGAAAGACGGUUUUGCUGUCACUUAUAGAUGGAUCCGCGCCGCAUUAGCUAGUUGGUAAGGUAACGGCUUACCAAGGCAACGAUGCGUAGCCGACCUGAGAGGGUGAUCGGCCACACUGGAACUGAGACACGGUCCAGACUCCUACGGGAGGCAGCAGUAGGGAAUCUUCCGCAAUGGGCGAAAGCCUGACGGAGCAACGCCGCGUGAGUGAUGAAGGUCUUCGGAUCGUAAAACUCUGUUAUUAGGGAAGAACAAAUGUGUAAGUAACGAUGCACGUCUUGACGGUACCUAAUCAGAAAGCCACGGCUAACUACGUG
Molecule: ribosomal RNA, 497 nt
Filed under: uncultured bacterium
Lineage: Bacteria
Description: partial 16S ribosomal RNA
Rfam family: Bacterial small subunit ribosomal RNA
Source: RNAcentral